RNAcentral lists this long non-coding RNA (952 nucleotides) under Zea mays. RNAcentral's name for it is "drought-responsive long non-coding RNA". The record is from RNAcentral. Lineage: Eukaryota; Viridiplantae; Streptophyta; Magnoliopsida; Poales; Poaceae.
CGACUUGGUCCACCCGGCUUCCAACAUAUGAAACUUCUUGCGUCUUCAUUAAAUUGUGCUAAUAUAAUGUGUGUUUCGUUUUGUUUUGUCCUGCCACAGGGGUGAAGUCUAUGUGGGAACACUGAACCUGCAACCGAGAUCGUAGAGAUUCGACAAUAUCACAAGAGGAUCAUACUUCUACUCCAUGAAAACUGUAACCUACUAGAGCUGAAAGAAAUAUAGAGCCUAUAAGAAGGAAAUGUAUGAGAUGCAACCAAUGUACAGUAAGCAACUUACCAUAUUUCUUUAUGACAUUGUUCCAAGAAUUAAUAAGUAUUCCAGUGAGCGUCUCAAAAAUGGAAUCAAGAGGUGAGGAAAGACAUCGCCCCAGUUCUGUAGAGGAUGCCUUCCUUUUCCUCGGGUUUUGUUGUGUGUCCUGCUUACCAAGCAUUGAUAGCAAUUCGCCGAUUGAUAGAUGAGAUGGUAACUAGCUGAAAACAGUAAUAAUUAAAACCCAAGAGCGAUUUUGCGACGCCCUGCUGUGAGCCGACCCUAGCAGUCAAGGCUUCGUAAAUCAGAUUUAUCUAUCAGGUAAAGUCACAGGAAAUGUUGUGGCAAAGGUAUGGCUUAAGAGAAAUCAUGUACCUAGAUGAUUUGUUGUCUAUACGAUUAGAUGGUGCUGUUCAUCUUCAAUUUUGUCAAAUUUGGCACCACUCCAGUCACCAACCAUACAUAAAAAAGUUUUAGUGAAGUCAAUGAAGCAAACAUUUUAAUAUUUCAUUCUAUCAAUAAAAGUGUAGUUUUGCUUCCGAUAAGACCUCCAUAAACAAUAAACACGGGUAAAGGAGAGUAUUGAUGGUUGGAAUGAGUGGUGGUAGCAGAAUGAUAUCUACAUACAUUGAUUAUAGGUACCAGCACCUCAUUUUUUUAUAAAAAAAUAUGUGCGAACUUGGAACUUUUUAAUAUGUGAGGA